GUUGAAGUGGCUGAGUUAUAAGCGGUAAAUUGUAAAUUUAUGAACGAGAAUUAUUCUCCUUUAACA
Molecule: transfer RNA, 66 nt
Filed under: Coomaniella copipes
Lineage: Eukaryota; Metazoa; Arthropoda; Insecta; Coleoptera; Buprestidae
Description: tRNA-Tyr
Source: RNAcentral